GACGUAGGGCGCGAGCGUUGUCCGGAUUUAUUGGGCGUAAAGAGCUCGUAGGCGGCUUGUUACGUCGACUGUGAAAACCCGCGGCUCAACCGUGUGGCUUGCAGUCGAUACGGGCAGGCUAGAGUUCGGUAGGGGAGACUGGAAUUCCUGGUGUAGCGGUGAAAUGCGCAGAUAUCAGGAGGAACACCAGUGGCGAAGGCGGCUCACUGGCCCGGUACUGACGCUGAGGUGCGAAAGCGUGGGGAGCAAACAGG
This 254-nucleotide ribosomal RNA is filed under the name uncultured bacterium. RNAcentral's name for it is "partial 16S ribosomal RNA". It matches the Rfam family "Bacterial small subunit ribosomal RNA", at positions 524 to 776 of the family's 1533-position model. The record is from RNAcentral.